AUUGAACGCUGGCGGCAGGCCUAACACAUGCAAGUCGAGCAGAUGAAGGGAGCUUGCUCCUGGAUUCAGCGGCGGACGGGUGAGUAAUGCCUAGGAAUCUGCCUGGUAGUGGGGGAUAACGUCCGGAAACGGGCGCUAAUACCGCAUACGUCCUGAGGGAGAAAGUGGGGGAUCUUCGGACCUCACGCUAUCAGAUGAGCCUAGGUCGGAUUAGCUAGUUGGUGGGGUAACGGCCUACCAAGGCGACGAUCCGUAACUGGUCUGAGAGGAUGAUCAGUCACACUGGAACUGAGACACGGUCCAGACUCCUACGGGAGGCAGCAGUGGGGAAUAUUGGACAAUGGGCGAAAGCCUGAUCCAGCCAUGCCGCGUGUGUGAAGAAGGUCUUCGGAUUGUAAAGCACUUUAAGUUGGGAGGAAGGGCAGUAAGUUAAUACCUUGCUGUUUUGACGUUACCAACAGAAUAAGCACCGGCUAACUUCGUG
RNAcentral lists this ribosomal RNA (484 nucleotides) under uncultured bacterium. RNAcentral's name for it is "partial 16S ribosomal RNA". It matches the Rfam family "Bacterial small subunit ribosomal RNA", at positions 30 to 507 of the family's 1533-position model. The record is from RNAcentral.